RNAcentral lists this long non-coding RNA (415 nucleotides) under Vigna radiata. Its description in RNAcentral is "long non-coding RNA (VRAD_LNC017592)". The record is from RNAcentral. Lineage: Eukaryota; Viridiplantae; Streptophyta; Magnoliopsida; Fabales; Fabaceae.
CCAAAUUAAAUAUCCAUGUGCUGGAAUCAAAGAAACAUAUGCCCAAAGAAAAAUGUGCUUCCUUUCAUUUCAUUCUAACAACGUGAAGGAAAAAAAAUGUUCAAACAUGGAAGUUGCUAACAAUGUUCAAAAGCAAAAAUAAAAUUAAACAAGUGUGAUGGUUGACUACAGCAAAGCAAUAACAUUUUCUAUUUCACAUCAGCCUCCAUUUCAGCACCGAGUGUUCCAGUUGGUGGCGGCUGUGUGUUUCCCAGAAAUCAAGUAACGUCCCUCUCUGCUAAUGUAACAAUGUCGGCUUUUCUUUAAUAUCAAGAGAAGAAUGACCUAUUCCCUGGCUGCUGCCCUCUACUGCUGGGCCGUGAUGGUGGGACUUUCAUUCUGCUGCCACCUCCAUUCUCACCAGGCACACACCUCA